GGGCCCGCACAAGCGGUGGAGCAUGUGGUUUAAUUCGAUGCAACGCGAAGAACCUUACCUGGUCUUGACAUACACAGAAUCUUGUAGAGAUACGAGAGUGCCUUCGGGAAUUGUGAUACAGGUGCUGCAUGGCUGUCGUCAGCUCGUGUCGUGAGAUGUUGGGUUAAGUCCCGCAACGAGCGCAACCCUUGUCCUUAGUUACCAGCGGGUUAAGCCGGGAACUCUAAGGAUACUGCCAGUGACAAACUGGAGGAAGGCGGGGACGACGUCAAGUCAUCAUGGCCCUUACGAGUAGGGCUACACACGUGCUACAAUGGCGCAUACAGAGGGCGGCCAACUUGCGAAAGUGAGCGAAUCCCAAAAAGUGCGUCGUAGUCCGGAUUGGAGUCUGCAACUCGACUCCAUGAAGUAGGAAUCGCUAGUAAUCG
Molecule: ribosomal RNA, 428 nt
Filed under: uncultured bacterium
Lineage: Bacteria
Description: bacterial SSU rRNA
Rfam family: Bacterial small subunit ribosomal RNA
Source: RNAcentral